RNAcentral lists this ribosomal RNA (423 nucleotides) under uncultured bacterium. RNAcentral's name for it is "bacterial SSU rRNA". It matches the Rfam family "Bacterial small subunit ribosomal RNA", at positions 958 to 1392 of the family's 1533-position model. The record is from RNAcentral.
AACGCGAAGAACCUUACCAGGGAUGUGACAUGACGGUAGUAGUGAAGCGAAAGCGGAACGACCCUUCGGGGAGCCGUCACAGGUGAUGCAUGGCUGUCGUCAGCUCGUGCCGUGAGGUGUUUGGUUAAGUCCACUAACGAGCGCAACCCCUAGUGCCAGUUACAAGUGUCUGGCGCGACUGCCGGUAUUAAGCCGGAGGAAGGUGGGGAUGACGUCAAGUCAGCAUGUCCUUUAUACCCUGGGCGACACACACGCUACAAUGGCCAGCACAAUGGGUCGCCAAGCCGUGAGGCGGAGCCAAUCCUAAAAAGCUGGUCUCAGUUCGGAUUGCAGGCUGCAACCCGCCUGCAUGAAGUCGGAGUUGCUAGUAACCGCAGGACAGCUAUACUGCGGUGAAUACGUUCCCGGGUCUAGUACACACCG